UACGGGGGGGGCAAGCGUUGUUCGGAAUUACUGGGCGUAAAGGGCUCGUAGGCGGCCAACUAAGUCGGAUGUGAAAUCCCCAGGCUUAACCUGGGAACUGCAUCCGAUACUGGAUGGCUUGAAUUCGGGAGAGGGAUGCAGAAUUCCAGGUGUAGCGGUGAAAUGCGUAGAUAUCUGGAGGAACACCGGUGGCGAAGGCGGAUCUCUGGGCCAUUACUGACGCUGAGGAGCGAAAGCGUGGGGAGCGAACAGG
This 253-nucleotide ribosomal RNA is filed under the name uncultured bacterium. RNAcentral describes it as "partial 16S ribosomal RNA". It matches the Rfam family "Bacterial small subunit ribosomal RNA", at positions 524 to 776 of the family's 1533-position model. The record is from RNAcentral.